Molecule: long non-coding RNA, 1950 nt
Organism: Acinonyx jubatus (cheetah)
Lineage: Eukaryota; Metazoa; Chordata; Mammalia; Carnivora; Felidae
Exons: 4
Source: RefSeq, a predicted model, not a curated record
UCCUCUUGGACCAAUACAUAUAAAGGCAAUGGUGGAAAGUCAAUAAUGUCACUAGGUCAAGGGCACUUGAUAAUACAGAGCCAAUAAAUGUUCUUCGUCCGUAUUUACACAGAGCUGAUCUUAAAAAAAAAAAAAAAAAAAAAAAAAAAAGCCAUAAGCUCUACUCAUGUGAAAAUCGCAAGGCUUUUGUGGAAGUUACCAUCCAGUACAUAUUUCUGCUGUCAGACUACUUCUGUCACUGCAUUUAAACCAUGAAGUGCAUUUGCUGCUGAUUCAACUAUUAUGGCAGGAAAAUGACCUGUAAAGUUCUUUUGAGGAGCCUGGCAUUCUGCAUAUAUUAUAGAAAUACAAGAGGAGAGAAAAUGUGUUAAAAAUGAAGUUUAUGAAAAGUCAUCCAACUAAACUUUACACUUCAUGGAAUACAGAGACUGCCUGAUUUCUGAGACUAAAGAAGGGGGAACAAAAAGAAACCUGUCAAGGCAGAAAAUCUCCAUAUUCUCAUGUUUUCAAGGGCAGUUGUCAACUUUUUUCUAACUAGGAAAUCUCCACGAGCUGUGGUUCUCAGCCUGGCCGGGGGUGGCUUCUCCAGGAUGUACGGCAGAUCUGUGAGAGGAGGCUGGACACUGCCUAGCCAAGAGCCAAUCGUGGCUACCGUCGCUGAAAGGAACAUUACCUAGGCUGGCUCCUGCUCAUCCAUCAAGUCAACUCUCCUGAUGUCACCCCAGGCCAGCUUUUCCUGCUCCCCUGUGCUGCUGCUUCUCUGGGCACAAGGAGUGCAGAGUCAUGUGAUGGGGACAAGAGUCAAGGUGGCUGAAACCCUGAGUGUAAAAUGCCUUUAUCCUUUGCCCUGACUGCAGAGCUUUGAGGUCAAGUGGAGCCACGGAAGCCAGGUCUGCAGGACAAAGUUGGAUUUUUCUUUUCAUAUUUUUCCUUCCUCACAUCUCCAUAGGAGAGGCAAGCCUUUUGAGGACACAAUGCCUAGACUCAGCAUGAAAGUGUUUCUCAGUGAACCAUGUCCCUGCCAGCCCAAUCUGUAUUUAAAUUACAUGAAAAAUUCAUGAGUUUCAUAGAAACAACUUCAAUCCAUUAUCAUCACAUACUCCUUUGUCUGGGAAACAGAUCCCUACUGGGUACCAGGGAAGACGGUUGAGAAGACGCCAGUGUUAGGAAGAACAGACAGCACAGGGCCAGGCCAUUAAUCACUACCACUUAUGGGUCCUCCUACUUCAAAAUGGGACUUCUAUUGACAUCUGGAGGGAGAGAGACACAGCCCCAAUAGCAUCCUCAUUGCAUCUGUAGGUCCCUCAAUCAUUUCCUAGAAUGGGAAAAGCAAUAACUUGCAUGUCUACUGCAUAUAAAAACAAUUUGGAAAAAUUGGAAUUGACUUAGAGAUACUUAAAAGGAGACUCAGAUUUACACACGAUAAUAUGUCUGGCGUUGGCUUUAUAUUCCGCUAAACACCUCUCCCCGCAAAGAAAAAUGCACCUAGGGAGCAACAGAACUAGAAGAAACAGGAUGGGCCAUGAGUUAAUAAUGGUUGAUGUGAAGUGGAUACAUGAGGGUUAAUUAUAAAAUUCUCUCUACACUUGUGUAGGUUUGAACAUUUUCAGAACGCAAAGUUUAAAAAAUAAAUUGAGAUUUGCAGCCCGUGUACCAUAAAGAAAAAAAAAAAUCCCAGGGCAACUCGCAAGGUAAAAAACAAGCAGAUUCUACCUGGCAAAGGCAGCCUCGUGUGGUUCCUGGGAUGGAGGGCACACAGGUAUACUUAACAUCAUUUACACUGUCUCUGAUAACACAGUGUAAUGGAGCAAAGUAUAUUCUCGACGAUUGUCAGUGUGGGGAGAAAUGCAUUUGUAAAGAUUUAUUGUCACUGUUGUUUUUUAAUGCUUGAUGUUCUGGAGUUAUUCUUAGAGCAAAAUAAAAGGUGUUUCCUGUGCUGAAGGUAUUUUA